This 283-nucleotide long non-coding RNA is filed under the name Olea europaea (common olive). Its description in RNAcentral is "long non-coding RNA (OEUR_LNC014824)". The record is from RNAcentral. Lineage: Eukaryota; Viridiplantae; Streptophyta; Magnoliopsida; Lamiales; Oleaceae.
CCACAUCCAUCCCUCUGGCCGGACUCCAAUUUCAUCAGCGCCCUAAUCCAUGAUGGCCUAGCCCUCGCAACAAUAUACGAACAAAUGGCAGAUCACGGGCCACUGAAAUAAUCCAGUGUUGAUGAAGAAGAAAUUGCACGUGUUGAUGAAGAAGAAAUUGCACAAGACCAGAGUACCUUCUGACAACUUAUUGCAGUGGUUUCAUGUCUCAAUGCUACUCAUUUAUGGAAGAAUGAAAUAUUCACCCUCUUUUAUUAUCUCAAUUCCACUCAAUUGCGGAGUA